Molecule: ribosomal RNA, 258 nt
Filed under: uncultured bacterium
Lineage: Bacteria
Description: partial 16S ribosomal RNA
Rfam family: Bacterial small subunit ribosomal RNA
Source: RNAcentral
GACAGAGGGUGCAAACGUUGUUCGGAAUUACUGGGCGUAAAGCGCGUGUAGGCUGCUCGGAAAGUCGGAUGUGAAAGCCCUGGGCUUAACCUAGGAAGUGCAUUCGAAACUUCCGAGCUGGAGUCCUGGAGAGGAAGGCGGAAUUCUCGGUGUAGAGGUGAAAUUCGUAGAUAUCGAGAGGAACACCGGUGGCGAAGGCGGCCUUCUGGACAGUGACUGACGCUGAGACGGCGAAAGCGUGGGGAGCGAACGAGGAAG